Drosophila subpulchrella is the source of this 7046-nucleotide long non-coding RNA. RefSeq lists it as uncharacterized. The transcript has 3 exons. The record is from RefSeq and is a predicted model, not a curated record. NCBI's taxonomy places the organism in Eukaryota, Metazoa, Arthropoda, Insecta, Diptera, Drosophilidae.
UACCGCCGGUAGGUGGCGCAUUUCAAUCUCGAUUUGCUGCUUACAUAUCUCCAUUUCCUAUUGGUCCCUUUAGCUGAGUAACGGGUAUCUGGGUAUUUGAGCUGCACCAAAAAAAAGGCAACGCCGGCCCCAGAUGCUGGCGAGGAGGUGCCAACGACUCCGUUAGGACCGGGAACCGCCGAGCCCCCAUUGUACACCAUUCAUCAAGAACGCGUGUUUGUGGAAUUUUUCAUAUGCAUCAUUUAUACAUAUGCAGAUUCCUGUGAGACUUCAAGCAAGGCGGUUGCAUAGUCGAGAGAACUCUGAAGUUGUCUCGUUUAAAGUCAGUGUAGCGACGGUCGUCACCUAAAAAGUAAACUGUGUAUAGUGUGAGACACUCCGGAACUAGAGGUACGUACCAUGGCACUGUUCCGGCGGGGCUUCCGAACGUAUCCCCAAGUCUUGGACUGGUGAGGCUGCUGUCGGUUCGUGGGCCAGGGGGAUCCUCUCCCGCGCAUAUCGAGUGAGAGUCUUUCACCACGAAAUCUCUCUCACACGCACAGUGACACAGCGCACAAUGCUGAACAACGUGGGGCGUAGGAGCUCAACAGCGUGGAUCUCCGCGCUUAACAGCACAUAGUGUUGGAAAGCGCCAUAAACGCGGGCCCUCUCUGAUUUUUUGAACUUUCGAAAUACUCCAAAUUCUGGCACCUAGAUACAGGGACGGCAAAGGGCAGAAGGCCAAGGAUCGGGCAAAUUCCAACCCCUCCGCCGCGGCGGUGCCUAUCAAAAGGGGCACUGGGGACCGAAAAGGGGCGGUAUAUCCCCCAUCGUAAGCCAAGGGGAAAUCUGUGGCCAGCGCGGGAGCCUCCCUCGAGCAAGUCGGGAAACCUGAGAUGGAGGAGGCUGAAAACCCUUUCGUGGGCAGACCAGUGGUGGUAAGAUCUCCCCGCCAUCCGAGGGAAGAGGGGACCGAUGGAGUUGCAGCGGCAUUUAGGAGGGGCAGCAAGCUCGCCCGCUCGCCGGCACCUUCGUAAGCCCAAGUUGAUGAGCUGAUUGGAGAUGCUGAGGAAGUGAAGGAAACCCCUAAGAGGACGUGUGAUCCUGCAAGCCCAGCAAACUCGCAAAGGACAACGCCGGCCAAAAGGAGCAAGGCCUCCCACGAGGCAACCUGCCUUGAGGAUCUCUUGGAGCUGGGGAAGCUGCUACAGAAGAUAUCCACCAAGAUGAUAGACAAAACGGCACGCCAUAUAACCGUCGCCACGAGGGAGACGUUCGUGCGCAUGAAGGCGCUUCACACGAGCAUCCUAGAGGCGAAUAGAGAGGGCGGCAAGGACGACAGCAUCAGUGAGAACGGCCAUGAUGCUGCAAUCGUGUGCUCGAAAUGCUCUCGAAGCUUGCAGAGCGCCGGCAAGGAACAGCAGACAACGGCUGUCUGAAGAGAGAUGCUGCAGCGCAAAUGGAACCUUGGCGAAGGAUAAGCCAGCCAACUGUGGCUGGAGGAUCCGCAGCUCAACUGGCCCACCAUCCACGCGCCCAACGCAGCAGAAAAGAGCCAAAGCUACCAGGAGCACCCGAAUGAACCCUCCAAAAGGGCCACAAGAAAGAGAGGCGACGCACGCUGGCGCCAGUAAGAUUUCGAGCCACGCAACUCCGGUCGCCGGUCAGGAAAAAGCCGAGGGCCACGCGUCGCGCCAUACCAGACGCUGUCGUUGUCGAGGCGAGCGGCAAAUCUUACAGCGAGGUGUUAGCCAUGGUGACACGAAGGGAAGACAAACAGUUGUCGGACCUGGGAAGCUGUGUAUCCAAGGUACUUCCGCACCAUUAACGGCAACCUACUGCUCGAGGUGGCCAAAGCAGAAAGCGCAGAAGCCAUGAAGGAGAGCAUCGCGAGGGUGCUAGGCGACGCAGCGUCAGUGCGAGCCAUGUCGGACGAGGCUAAACUGCUCGUUUUGGAGAUACGAGACGUCGACUCCAUCGCGACGGAGCAGAAAAUCUGAGCUAGGACUGCGAGCUAGUAUGGCAUCAAUGCUGAGCGCAUCAGAGUCCGGAGUCUGCGCCGAGGCUACGCGGAGUCGCAGUCGGCAGUGAUCAGCUUGCCCUACUCCCUGGGAGAGGCGUUCUUCAUCGUGGCGAGGUGCAGAUUGAAUGGACCAUCUGCAGGAUCCGGGAAAGAACAGGCCUCCCAAGAUGAUUCAAAUGCUUGUAACCCGGCCAUAUUGCAGUUAACUGCAAGAGCCUAGUGGAUAGGAGCGAUUGCUGCAUAAGAUGUGGUGAACAAGGGUACAAGGCAGCCAAGUGCAGCAAGGAGCCUUCAUGCUUCAUCUGCUCUGCGGGAGGAAAGAAGGAGACCAGGUACCAGGCAGGAAGCAGAUUCUGCUCAGCCACAACCAGCGGGACAGGGAGGCCUCGACCGACAUGCAGUUGAUCCAGCUAAACCUCCUGAAGCAGACGGUGCGCGAACUGGGUUCUGAGGUGGCAAUACUCAGUGAGCCCUACAGAGUGGAAAGCACUAACGAUUGGGUCACGGAUCGCACUGGCAAAGCGGCACUGUGGCUCUGCGGAGUGGGUGCACCACUCAUGCGGGACAUGAGGGCAGCAGAGGGGUUCAAGGGGCUCCCUCUAUACCAACGCCAGGGGGCGCACCAUCCUUGAGGCUAUUGCGUCGCUGGACAUCGUCCUGUUGGACGAGGGCUCCCAGCACACCUUCAACAGAGCUGGGGUCGGUUCAAUCAUUGACCGUAGCACACGCUGGAGGAUAGGCGAGGUGUUCACGGCCAGCGACCAUGAAGCCAUCCUGCUGACAGUUGGCGGUCCACCGUGCCAAAGCCAGCCGAUGACCGGGUCAAGGAAAGCCUACCGCCAGGACACCUUUAGGCCACAGACCUUUGCCAGUGCACUGGAAGGAUUGGCUGUCUCUGAGUUGGACUCGGCAGAUGAAGCAGCGAACAAAUUGGCAGCUAGACUGGAGGAAGCCCACCAGUGUACUGGUGGAGCGAGGAAAUCGCUAGCUUGCGCUGGACCUGCCUUCGAGCCAGGAGGUUAGUCCAAAGGGCGAGAGGCACGGCAAACCUCUCAGCCUGCUACUCGAGCUUUAAGAGUGCAAAGAAGGCACUCAAACUGGCGAUUCGGUACAGCAAGAGGAAAAGCUACCUCAAGCUCUGCGACGAGCUGGAAAACGACCCAUGGGGAAGAUCCUAUAAGACGGUGGUCAAGCGUGUGAAUGCCGGCAAUAGGUCGCUUACUGACCCGGCGGUCCUGGAGGGUAUUGUCUAAGUGCAGUUUCCAGAGGGUCGCCGCCAUUGCAUCCCCCGAUAGACGCGACAAAUUGGGAGCCCGAUAUGUCCGGUCACGGAGACGGAAAUAUUAUCUGUGGCAAGAAACUUGAAGAACAGGAAGGACUCUGGGCCGGAUUUGGUCCCGAACAGUGCAGUGAAGACCCUGCUAUCCCUCCAUCCGGGUGCGGUAGCAUCGCUCUAUAGCACGUGCCUGCUGGAAGGGACCUUUCCCGACAGGUGGAAGCGCCAAAAACUUCUGCUCCUGCCAAAGCCAGGGAAACCAGCGGGCGAAGCCUCUUCUUAUAGACCCAUCUGCCUGCUGGACACUAUAGGCAAGGUCUUCGAAAGGGUCAUUGCAACAAGGCUUAACUCUGCUAUGGAGGAUGCCGAUGGACUCUCUUCCAACCAAUAUGGUUUCCGGAAAGGGAAAUCGACACUGGAUGCGAUAGAGAGGGUCACCAACCUUGCUGCUAAAACCAUCGCUGGUACCAGACGGAAGGGUGGGACGAAGAAGUAUUGUCUAGUGGUCACGCUGGACAUACGGAACGCGUUCAACUCAGCCGAUUAAGGGAGGACAGUGGAGACAUUACGGUCCUUCAACAUCCCGGAAUACCUGUUGAAUGUAGUGCACAGCUACCUCAGCAAAAGGGAGUUGGUCCUAGAAACAUCUGUGGGCCCCAGGACUUACGAGGUGACAGCCGGUGUUCCUCAGGGCGCGGUACUUUGGAACACGAUGUAUGACGGAGUUCUGAAGCUCCCACUGCCGAGCAGCACCAAUAUUGUUGGCUUUGCAGAUGAUGUCGCGCUGGUUGUGGUGGCCAAGGAAGUUGGUUAGGAAGUUAGGAAGUUACAGUUCGUAAACAAGAAGGCAAGUGAGACCACAGGAUCGCUCUGCAGGAUCCUGCUGAACACCAGGGGAGCGAAGCAGGACAGACGUAGUCUCCUCGCGACCGUUGUCAAGUCGCAGUUGCUGUACGCUGGUCCAGUGUGGGCUGAGGCCACGGCUGUUAGCAGCUACAUGGGAGGUGUUAACUCGACGUACCGCCUGUGUGCCGUCAGAAUAUCGAGUGCCUUCAGGACGAUUUCGGACGACGCAGCGCUUGUCAUUGCAGGCCAAGUUCCCCUAUGUGAACUGGUGCGGAAGGCCAAGGAGAUACGCGCGGCACUAGCAGGCGAACAGGCGGACCACAGUACCAAGGCCGUGGUGAAGAGGAGGGCCAGGAUGCAGAGCGUCGACAAUUGGCAGGCAGCCUGGGAAAACUCCAGCAAGGGUCGCAAGACGCACCAGCUCAUUCCCAGCAUAGAGCCAUGGGUAAAUAGGAAGCACGGCCCCUUACUCCUGUUCUUGUACUUACUUUUACUCUGUAUAUAAGUAUAGGUAAUAAAUGAAUAUACAAAAAAUAAAAAAAAAAUAUGUAGAUACACUGACAAAGCGCAUGUUUAGGCUUGCAUUAAUAAUUGCGAUCCCGUAAUAAAGUUUUGCGGGUUUUUAUUUAACAAAUUAUACUACAUUUUAAAAGAUUCUUACUGAAUUAUCAUUUUUAUCGCAAUGCCUAUGCGAGCCUAACCAUGUGCUUUGCCAGUGUAUCUGUAUAUGUACAAUGUACAUAUAUACAGUGUAUUAAAAUAAUAUUUGGGCUUUUUCAACUUUAAACGUGAAUAAAAGGUUUGAAACUAAUAAAAACAAAAAAUUUAAUGAUGAAGAAUUAAAGUUUAUUUUAUUACCAUUUCAUAGAUUUAUAUAUGUAUAUUAAUACUUUUCUUUAAAUUUAAAGGAUGCAUAAAAAAAACUAAUGUUAAUGUUAUACACUGUAUGCAUGUACAUAAUUAAGACUGAAAUAAAAUUAAUUAAAUAUUGUUAGAUGCACAAAUUCAAUAUGAUGAUUUUAAAAAUAUUUUAACUGAGUAAGAUUUGGAGGAAACCGUUCCACCGUUGGGUCCUCGGUUGACAUUUUGAGAGAAGCUGCUGCCUUGGAGAAAACCAAUACUUGGACCAGAUGGUGAAUCGCAGUUGCUUCCCACAAACAUAACCAAAUCGCAGGAGACGCCGCUUAAAUUUUAUUAUAAGGCAAAGCUGGUGCUAAGCAAAAGCUUGGACACUUUAUUGGCGAAGACCAAUAGAGGGAGAGCUAUUUUGGAUCAUGGAAAAAAACAGAUGUCUUUAAGCCAGGACAUAAAGAACGAUCUUAUGGGCAUUAUCCUUGAGGAGAUCUUCUCAACAGGGAUAACUAUGAAAUAUUCCGAUUUUAGUCUGUUUCUGGGCGAAAUUUGCUGUCACUUACCUGGCGAAGAGAAAUGCAAGGAUUACUACUUCAUUUCGCGAGACGGUAAAAAAAUCCAUCGGGCAAACUGUAUUCCAAGUACAAAAAUCGAAGAUCAAGGAUCAAGCUAAAACUAGCACAAAAUGAGUUGCUUGAAAAGUAUGAAGAUUUGGAAAACCAAACGACUGAAGUCUCAGAAUCGGAUCGUAUCGCACUUUCGCUGUUGCUUUCUCUGAAUAGGAUUGGUGACAAUUGGGUCUUAGUGUGCGAGAAAUGGAAGAAGACCUUCCAUUUUGAGCUGUGAAAAAAACAACACCCCUUUUCAAAUAUGUAAUCUCCUUAAUCAAAUUACGUAUAAGGGUAAAAUAUAUAAGUCCAAAUAUUUCCUUGUGGCUAGAGAAGUCCAUACAAAAUUAUUUAAAAUUUUAAGUUUUUUUAAUUUUGGUAUUAACGUUUUUGUUGUUUGCGAAGAAAUUAAUUUAUUGAGUUAUGAUUAUGUUGGAAAUAGCACUGAAAAUGUUUAUGUAAAAAACAUUCAAGAAUUCAUAUCAGUUCCAAUUCAUGUGUAUACUUUAAAUAAUUCGAAGUCUCAUAUAAGGCUGAAGCAGGUAUAACAUAAAACGUAAGUGGCAAAACUUAUGUAUGUAUUAUUUUCUUUUUAAGUUUCCUGUAUUAUACUACAAUAAGAAUCAACAAACUCAGUUACGCGAUACAUUCAAAUAAUAAAAUAAAAUAAAACCGGUUUUUUUGUGCAAACCCAAUGCCAUCCUAAGUGAAGAAUUAUAAGUUAUCAUGUAAAGAACCUUUUCCGCUGGAUUAUGGAAUUUUAAACUCUUUAAUGAAGCAUGGUUUGUUCUUAUUAUAAGACCAAAGAUAAUGCAUUGGUAAAAUUGGUACAUACUGUUCUUGAGCGUAGUAUAAAUAAUUAUUUUCUGAAGACUAAGUCCAGUUUAAAAUAAGAGUUAUAUAUUUUUGAUGCAAGCUGCAUAUAAUCUUGAUAUAAGCGUUGGCCAUGGUUCAUUUAAGAACAUUUUAGACAUGUUUUAAGAAUAAAUAUUGAUAUAUUAAGGAACUAAUUAUAUUUCAUGUAAGUUCAAUUCAUACUUGAUUUAAGAAUUUUUAAACUUAACUAAAGUACAAUUCAUAUUUAAAUAAAGUAGUAUUUAUACUUAAAUAAAGAAGAUUUCAUACUUAAAUCAAGUAGAAUAUGUUCGUACCCAAAGGUACUCAACAUGACCACACCCAACAAAUCAAGCAGUAGCCAAGUUGGGAACAGUACCAGGCGCUCAGUAGCACCCACUCACUAACUUACCGUCUCAGCGGUACUUUGACCCGCCAAUGCAGUCAGCACAUUUUGCAGUGUCAGCCGAGCCAACUACGCAAACUGCUACCAUAAUCGAAACUCCCUGACCUACCGACCUGCCUACCUACUUUAGAAUAUAGCUUAUUUCACUAAUCAUUACACUAAACUUCCGUGUUCCAAAUAGUAUAUAAGCAUGUAUCAAAUGAAGAAUAAAUCAGUUAUCAA